AAACAUUCAAGCAACUUGAGAUUUUAUUUUGAAAAUAGCUAUUUUGACAUAAUAUCCAGUUUCUCGUGUAUCAGAAUAAAUUCUUUACAACAUUGAUCAUCAUCACUUCUGGGUACUUGUACAUAAUCUCUGAGUAAAAUAUAUUCACACUAGGCAAGGCUAGAAUAUUGAAACUAUGACAAAUAAUGCUUAAGUUUGUUAAUAACAAAACUAUAGUAGUUGUACACUAGAAGAGAUGUUUCAAAUGUUUACCAUUCAAAGAUAAGCUUGGUAGAACAAAACCAAUAUAAGUAUACAUAAAUUUCUUGUCUUCUUUACCAUCAGUCUUUAAGAAAGCUGAAGUUACAUUACAAACACUUCAAAUUUCCACUUCAGAGUGAGCAGAAAAAUGAGAAGACAUUAUUUCCUAUUUUACAAAAUAAAACACCAAGUUAGAAGAAUAAAGCUCAUCUUUAUGCAAUUAACAUAAAAGCUUGAGUACACCGAUCCUUCUCCAAGAAAUAGAGACGCCAGCCCUGCAACACAGGCAGCCAACAGGCCAAAGAAUGGAUGGCCAGCACACAGCCUUCUCCACUCUGCAUGACUUGCUCAGAACUGAUGCAAACUCUGGCAAAUCAUUUUUUCUAGACUUCCAAGGAUCUUGGUUAUGUAAACUCAAUGAUUAAAAGGCAUUUUUCUGAAUUUG
RNAcentral lists this long non-coding RNA (685 nucleotides) under Bos taurus (domestic cattle). RNAcentral describes it as "long non-coding RNA NONBTAT001796". The record is from RNAcentral. Lineage: Eukaryota; Metazoa; Chordata; Mammalia; Artiodactyla; Bovidae.